Molecule: ribosomal RNA, 328 nt
Filed under: uncultured eukaryote
Lineage: Eukaryota
Description: partial 18S ribosomal RNA
Rfam family: Eukaryotic small subunit ribosomal RNA
Source: RNAcentral
CCCCUAGAUGUUCUGGGCCGCACGCGCGCUACACUGAACAGUUCAACAAGUCUUAACCUUGGCCGAUAGGUCUGGGUAAUCUUUGAACGCUGUUCGUGAUUGGGAUAGACCUUUGCAAUUAUGGGUCUUCAACGAGGAAUUCCUAGUAAACGCAAGUCAUCAGCUUGCAUUGAUUACGUCCCUGCCCUUUGUACACACCGCCCGUCGCUCCUACCGAUUGAAUGAUCCGGUGAGGCCCCCGGAAUGUGGUCACGGCUUUGGUUCGCCAAACUGAGAUCGCGUGAAGCUGUCCAAACCUUAUCAUUUAGAGGAAGGAGAAGUCGUAACA